UGGGGAAUAUUGCGCAAUGGGGGAAACCCUGACGCAGCAACGCCGCGUGCAGGAAGAAGGUCUUCGGAUUGUAAACUGUUGUCGCAGGGGAAGAAGACAGUGACGGUACCCUGUGAGAAAGUCACGGCUAACUACGUGCCAGCAGCCGCGGUAAUACGUAGGUGACAAGCGUUGUCCGGAUUUACUGGGUGUAAAGGGCGCGUAGGCGGAUGUGCAAGUCAGUCGUGAAAUACCGGGGCUCAACCCCGGGGCUGCGAUUGAAACUGCACACCUUGAGUAUCGGAGAGGAAAGCGGAAUUCCUAGUGUAGCGGUGAAAUGCGUAGAUAUUAGGAGGAACACCAGUGGCGAAGGCGGCUUUCUGGACGACAACUGACGCUGAGGCGCGAAAGUGUGGGGAGCAAACAGG
This 407-nucleotide ribosomal RNA is filed under the name uncultured bacterium. RNAcentral's name for it is "bacterial SSU rRNA". It matches the Rfam family "Bacterial small subunit ribosomal RNA", at positions 355 to 776 of the family's 1533-position model. The record is from RNAcentral.